GAUGCUCCCUGCCUUGCAGAGGCGGCUGCUGUGUCACACGUGUGUCAGUAGGUGGCAGAGAGGAGAGAGGCGAUGUUUAUGUUCAGUGUUCUGAGCACAUGAACAUCUGAAUGAUUCAUUAGCAGCCUAACAUC
This is a small nucleolar RNA of Rattus norvegicus (Norway rat), 134 nucleotides long. Ensembl annotates it as small nucleolar RNA SNORA17. The record is from Ensembl. Lineage: Eukaryota; Metazoa; Chordata; Mammalia; Rodentia; Muridae.